UACGAAGGGGGCUAGCGUUGUUCGGAAUUACUGGGCGUAAAGCGCACGUAGGCGGAUAUUUAAGUCAGGGGUGAAAUCCCAGAGCUCAACUCUGGAACUGCCUUUGAUACUGGGUAUCUAGAGUAUGGAAGAGGUGAGUGGAAUUCCGAGUGCAGAGGUGAAAUUCGUAGAUAUUAGGAAGAACACCGGUGGCGAAGGCGGCUCACUGGCUCGGUACUGACGCUGAGGUGCGAAAGCGUGGGGAGCAAACAGGAUUAGAUACCCUUGUAGU
This 271-nucleotide ribosomal RNA is filed under the name uncultured bacterium. RNAcentral's name for it is "partial 16S ribosomal RNA". It matches the Rfam family "Bacterial small subunit ribosomal RNA", at positions 524 to 794 of the family's 1533-position model. The record is from RNAcentral.